RNAcentral lists this ribosomal RNA (326 nucleotides) under uncultured bacterium. RNAcentral describes it as "bacterial SSU rRNA". It matches the Rfam family "Bacterial small subunit ribosomal RNA", at positions 183 to 507 of the family's 1533-position model. The record is from RNAcentral.
AUGAGGCAUCUCAUUUGGUUGAAAGUUCCGGCGGUUAUGGAUGGGCAUGCGUUGUAUUAGCUAGAUGGCGGGUAACGCCCACCAUGGCGACGAUGUCUAGGGGUUCUGAGAGGAAGGUCCCCCACACUGGAACUGAGACACGGUCCAGACUCCUACGGGAGGCAGCAGUGAGGAAUAUUGGUCAAUGGUCUGACGACUGAACCAGCCAUGCCGCGUGAAGGUCACGGCCCUAUGGGUCUUAAACUUCUUUUUGACAAGGGGAAACAAUAAGGUCUACGUGUAGAUCGAUGAGAGUACCUUGCGAAUAAGCAUCGGCCAACUCCGUG